CGGUGGAGUAACCUACGCCCUCGAGGUGGGGGAUAACCAAGGGAAACUUUGGCUAAUACCGCAUGAUACCGAGAGGUCAAAGGGGGCUCGCAAGAGCUCUCGCCAUAGGAGGGGUCCGCGUCCGAUUAGCUAGUUGGUAGGGUAAUGGCCUACCAAGGCGACGAUCGGUAGCCGGCCUGAGAGGGUGAUCGGCCACACUGGAACUGAGACACGGUCCAG
This 219-nucleotide ribosomal RNA is filed under the name uncultured bacterium. Its description in RNAcentral is "partial 16S ribosomal RNA". It matches the Rfam family "Bacterial small subunit ribosomal RNA", at positions 114 to 334 of the family's 1533-position model. The record is from RNAcentral.